RNAcentral lists this long non-coding RNA (268 nucleotides) under Helianthus annuus (common sunflower). Its description in RNAcentral is "sRNA HanXRQr2_Chr04g0150001". Lineage: Eukaryota; Viridiplantae; Streptophyta; Magnoliopsida; Asterales; Asteraceae. The record is from RNAcentral.
UUUCUCCUCACUUCUAUUUCGCCCUUCGUUUCCACUCGACUGAAACAUAUCACGCAGAUCCAAAACCCUAGCACAAUUGCUGUGCCAUCAUCUCCACACACUUGCCAGUCCUUCAAUCGAUCGCUCACGUUUCCCCUAACCCUAUAUCGUGCACCAUCAUGCUCCAUCGUUCACGCCUCCGAUCCCUGUAUUUCUGUUAUCUUCUCGUCAAAGAUGGGGCCUAUGGAUAUUGUUGGUAAGACCAAAGAGGAUGCUUCGUUACCGAAAG